RNAcentral lists this ribosomal RNA (288 nucleotides) under Bacillus sp. (in: firmicutes). RNAcentral's name for it is "Bacillus sp. (in: Bacteria) partial 16S ribosomal RNA". It matches the Rfam family "Bacterial small subunit ribosomal RNA", at positions 500 to 787 of the family's 1533-position model. Lineage: Bacteria; Bacillati; Bacillota; Bacilli; Caryophanales; Bacillaceae. The record is from RNAcentral.
ACUACGUGCCAGCAGCCGCGGUAAUACGUAGGUGGCAAGCGUUAUCCGGAAUUAUUGGGCGUAAAGCGCGCGCAGGUGGUUUCUUAAGUCUGAUGUGAAAGCCCACGGCUCAACCGUGGAGGGUCAUUGGAAACUGGGAGACUUGAGUGCAGAAGAGGAAAGUGGAAUUCCAUGUGUAGCGGUGAAAUGCGUAGAGAGGUGGAGGAACACCAGUGGCGAAGGCGACUUUCUGGUCUGUAACUGACACUGAGGCGCGAAAGCGUGGGGAGCAAGGGGGAUUAGAUACCC